CCUACGGGAGUCUGCAGUGAGGAAUAUUGGUCAAUGGGCGCGAGCCUGAACCAGCCAAGUCGCGGGAGGGAAGACGGUCCUAUGGAUUGUAAAACUCUUUUGUCGGGGAGCAAAAGACGCCACGCGUGGCGUUCAGAGAGUACCCGAAGAAAAAGCAUCGGCUAACUCCGUGCCAGCAGCCGAGGUAAUAAGGAGGAUGCGAGCGUGAUCCGGAUUUAUUGGGUUUAAAGGGUGCGCAGGCGGAAGAUCAAGUCAGCGGUAAUAUGGAGAGGCUCAACCUCUUCGAGCCGUUGAAACUGGUUUUCUUGAGUGAGUGAGAAGUAUGCGGAAUGCGUGGUGUAGCGGUGAAAUGCAUAGAUAUCACGCAGAACUCAGAUUGCGAAGGCAGCAUACCGGCGCUCAACUGACGCUCAUGCACGAAAGUGUGGGUAUCGAACAGGAUUAGAUACCCGUGUAGUC
RNAcentral lists this ribosomal RNA (459 nucleotides) under uncultured bacterium. Its description in RNAcentral is "partial 16S ribosomal RNA". It matches the Rfam family "Bacterial small subunit ribosomal RNA", at positions 338 to 795 of the family's 1533-position model. The record is from RNAcentral.